This 461-nucleotide ribosomal RNA is filed under the name uncultured bacterium. RNAcentral describes it as "partial 16S ribosomal RNA". It matches the Rfam family "Bacterial small subunit ribosomal RNA", at positions 28 to 490 of the family's 1533-position model. The record is from RNAcentral.
AUUGAACGCUGGCGGCGUGCUUAACACAUGCAAGUCGAGCGGUAAGGCCCUUUCGGGGGUACACGAGCGGCGAACGGGUGAGUAACACGUGGGUGACCUGCCCUCAGCUCUGGGAUAAGCCUGGGAAACCGGGUCUAAUACUGGAUAUGACUCCAUGACGCAUGUUGUGGGGUGGAAAGCCUUGUGCGGCUGAGGAUGGGCCCGCGGCCUAUCAGCUUGUUGGUGGGGUGAUGGCCUACCAAGGCGACGACGGGUAGCCGGCCUGAGAGGGCGACCGGCCACACUGGGACUGAGACACGGCCCAGACUCCUACGGGAGGCAGCAGUGGGGAAUCUUGCGCAAUGGGCGAAAGCCUGACGCAGCAACGCCGCGUGUAGGAUGAAAUCUUUCGGGAUGUAAACUACUGUUAGAAGGGGAAGAAAUCCCGGUUACGCCGGGAGUGACGGUACCCUCAGAGAAAG